CUGUAAGGGAAGGAAACAAACUGUCCCAGAGACGUUAGAGGACAAUAGUUGGAUCAGUCUGUCUCCUACACGUGCUUCUACCGCAGAGGGGACAUUAUUGUGGGAACUUGGAGACCGGUGCUUCGUAAAGAAGAAGUUAAAUUCACCACAGUUACCGUGACUACACGUCUUUCUCUUUAACGCUAGACUUUACAUGCCACUAUGAAAUACAUCCUGGUUACCGGUGGGGUCAUAUCUGGUAUUGGCAAGGGCAUCAUCGCCAGCAGCGUGGGAACAAUCCUCAAGUCCUGCGGCCUUCACGUCACAGCCAUCAAAAUCGACCCGUAUAUCAAUAUCGACGCUGGUACCUUUUCACCAUAUGAACACGGUGAAGUUUUUGUUCUCGACGACGGUGGGGAGGUGGAUCUGGACUUGGGGAACUAUGAGCGUUUCCUGGACAUCCGUCUUACCAAAGACAACAACCUCACCACUGGAAAGAUCUACCAGUCGGUCAUCAACAAGGAGAGGAGGGGAGACUACCUGGGCAAGACUGUACAGGUGGUACCCCACAUCACAGAUGCCAUCCAGGAGUGGGUGAUGAGGCAGGCCAGGAUCUCAGUAGACGACGAUGGUGUGGAGCCUGAAGUUUGUGUCAUAGAGCUGGGAGGCACUGUGGGGGACAUUGAGAGCAUGCCCUUCAUCGAGGCCUUCAGACAGUUCCAGUUCAAGGUGAAGAAGGAGAACUUCUGCAACAUCCAUGUCAGCCUGGUGCCACAGCCCAAAACCACAGGAGAGCAGAAAACCAAACCGACCCAGAACAGUGUCCGAGAGCUCAGAGGGCUGGGCUUGUCUCCAGAUUUGAUUAUGUGCCGCGGUUCAUCGCCCCUAGAAACAUCUGUCAAGGAGAAGAUCUCCAUGUUUUGUCAUGUGGAGCCCACACAGGUGAUCUGUGUCCAUGACGUCUCCUCGGUCUACAGAGUGCCCCUGCUGCUGGAGGACCAGGGUGUUGUGAGCUACUUCUGUCAGCGGCUGAGCCUGCCCAUCGAGGUGAGGCCCAGGAAGAUGCUCUCAAAGUGGAAGGUGAUGGCUGACAGAUCUGCUCGUCUCUUGGAACAUGUCUCCAUAGCCCUGGUGGGGAAAUACACUAAGUUAGCUGACUCCUACACCUCCGUUAUCAAGGCCUUAGAGCACUCAGCCCUCGCCAUUAAUCACAAACUAGAGGUCAAGUACAUAGACUCUGCAGACCUGGAGGCUACCACUCUGCAAGAUGAGCCUGUGAAAUAUCACGAGGCCUGGCAAAAACUCUGCAGUUCUCAUGGCGUGUUGGUACCAGGAGGUUUUGGUGUGCGAGGGACAGAAGGCAAGAUGCUCGCUAUUAACUGGGCGAGGAAACAGAAUAAGCCGUUCCUGGGAGUAUGUUUGGGCAUGCAGCUGGCAGUGUGCGAGUUCGCCCGCAAUGUUCUCGGAUGGGAAGAUGCCAACUCUACAGAAUUUGAUCCAGAAUCCACUCACCCUGUGGUGAUUGAAAUGCCAGAGCACAACCCAGGGCAGCUGGGUGGGACUAUGAGGUUGGGGAAGAGGCGGACCCUUUUCAAAUCCAGCACCAGUGUACUGAGAAAACUGUACGGAGAUGUGGAAUAUGUUGACGAGAGGCACAGGCACAGAUUUGAGGUGAACCCUGAGCUGAAGCACCACUUUGAAGAAAAGGGUUUUCAGUUUGUCGGCCAGGAUGUGGAAGGAGAGCGAAUGGAGGUCAUUGAAUUGGACGAUCAUUGUUACUUCGUAGGAGUGCAGUAUCAUCCAGAGUUCACCUCGAGACCCAUCAAACCUUCUCCUCCAUACUUUGGUCUCCUGCUGGCCGCUGCAGGAAAACUCCAGGGCUUCCUGGCCAAGAACUGUCGCCUCUCUCCGCGGGACACGUACAGCGGCAGCAGCUCCCCUGAAGAAGACAUCCCUGAGCUCAAGUUCCCAUCAUUGUCCUGAGACUAAAGCACCAUGUAGCUGUUGUGUUUGUGAGUCACUCCUGCAGAUGAAUGCAAGGCCGGUCUGCUCUUAACUGAUGCCGCAAAACCAUUUUUUACAUUCAUAUGGGUACAAUAUGUUGCUACGGUACCUAUUUAUACUCUAGAUAUAUUAAGUCUUUUCUUCUUAUUCUUGAUUGUGUAAAGGGGAAGGGACGUCUUGCUGUUGCAAUUUUCACAUCUUACUCAGUGAAAAAAGGCUUUUUUAUAUAUAUAUUUAUUUUUUGUUGGAAAGACUAACCGAGACGUUUCUGGUGAGUUUUUUAAUAUAAUUUCUGUCGAGUUGAAUGAAGUGUUACACGAUGCUCCGCGACUAGAACAGCUGAUCCCCCCCAGGCGAAACUAUGGCAGCGAGGAGGGGGAAGUGGGGUGUAAUACCAGCUUACAUAACUCAUUCAGGGGUACUACACAAAAGUGAGUAAGCUACAUGCCACUCUGGUUUCAAAUAAUCUUGCAAUAUUAUAUUGAGUGAACAUGCGAAACGGUACGAGUAUGAGAUUAAACUGGAUCACUAAGGUGGUGACUGUGGGGUAUAUAUAUAUAUGAUUUUCUUUAUUUUGUCGUAAUAAGGUGAAUUGUUUAGGCGUCAGCCAAUAUCACAAGGACAAUGGGUUUUAAUUUCUUCAUGAAAGUUGUAAUGGAUUAUGCACUUUGGGGUGUUGGUACUUAAGUUUUUAUGCCUUAAACUUGAACUCACCAGUUCUGCUUGCAUGACUUUUAUGUUUGAGACCUUUUGCCUGCUGACAUCAACAAACAGUUUUUAACUCCAUUACCUUUUACUGCCAUAUCUGACCCAGAAGAUCCUAAAAUGAAUUAUACUGAUGCACAGUCCUCUGACAAUCCGGCAAGCUGAAAGUGACCCUUCAGUGAGUCAGCAGUAUUAACUGAAAAAGAAAGCUCGGCAUAUGAAAACUGAUGUCUUAAAAACUGAAAGGCAAAACUUGCAACUAGCAUCAAGCUUUCCAUGUUACAUUAUCAUUUGGAGUCCUGAAUAGUUCAAUCAUUGAUGUCUCUGCCUUCAUUUCUCUGUUUGUGAUCUAAAUGUAUGGGGGGAAAAAAUGCAGUAUUUUUAUAUUUAUGAAGUUCAGAUGCAUGUGUGAUGCGAUAUGUGUGUUUAUUCUGAAUAAAUAUAUUUUUAUUCCUCUUUA
RNA transcript from Sebastes umbrosus (honeycomb rockfish), 3148 nucleotides. It is a transcript of the gene named CTP synthase 1b, with no coding region annotated. The transcript is spliced from 19 exons. The record is from RefSeq and is a predicted model, not a curated record. NCBI's taxonomy places the organism in Eukaryota, Metazoa, Chordata, Actinopteri, Perciformes, Sebastidae.